Molecule: long non-coding RNA, 186 nt
Organism: Mauremys reevesii (Reeves's turtle)
Lineage: Eukaryota; Metazoa; Chordata; Testudines; Geoemydidae
Exons: 3
Source: RefSeq, a predicted model, not a curated record
UGGAGCCGCGCUGCUGCAAGGCGGCUGUGGUGGAGAGGAUUGUGGAGCUCAUUGAGGAGCUUCCUAAAGACUCUGCACCCAGCGAGAUCCUCGCCAGCUGCCUGGCUGCUGUGGGCAACCUCACCACCAUGAAACCAGCCCUUGAGCCUGAGCUAGAGUCCCGCCUCUUGCAAGCUGCCCUUGGCU